UCGGAUCAGGUAGGAAUACCCGCUGAACUUAAGCAUAUCAAUAAGCGGAGGACCU
RNAcentral lists this ribosomal RNA (55 nucleotides) under Fusarium sp. GI728. RNAcentral's name for it is "partial large subunit ribosomal RNA". The record is from RNAcentral. Lineage: Eukaryota; Fungi; Ascomycota; Sordariomycetes; Hypocreales; Nectriaceae.